UGGGGAAUAUUGCACAAUGGGGGGAACCCUGAUGCAGCGACGCCGCGUGAGCGAAGAAGUAUUUCGGUAUGUAAAGCUCUGUCAGCAGGGAAGAAGAUGACGGUACCUGACCAAGAAGCUCCGGCUAAAUACGUGCCAGCAGCCGCGGUAAUACGUAUGGAGCAAGCGUUAUCCGGAUUUACUGGGUGUAAAGGGAGCGCAGGCGGUGCGGCAAGUCUGGUGUGAAAUUCCGGGGCCCAACCCCGGGACUGCAUUGGAAACUGUCGCGCUGGAGUGUCGGAGGGGCAGGCGGAAUUCCUAGUGUAGCGGUGAAAUGCGUAGAUAUUAGGAGGAACACCGGUGGCGAAGGCGGCCUGCUGGACGACAACUGACGCUGAGGCUCGAAAGCGUGGGGAGCAAACAGGAUUAGAUACCC
RNAcentral lists this ribosomal RNA (415 nucleotides) under uncultured bacterium. Its description in RNAcentral is "bacterial SSU rRNA". It matches the Rfam family "Bacterial small subunit ribosomal RNA", at positions 355 to 787 of the family's 1533-position model. The record is from RNAcentral.